UAUCUCCAUUGAUAUUACAAUCGUUGAUUUUGUAUAUGCAUUCUCCUCUCUUUCUAGGUGUGUUGAAAAUGGGUACCCAGAUGCAUAUUUCUUGUUUUUGAUUUCAGUUAUGUAAAAUGUAUUUUGAGUGUGAAAAUUUUGUUCUUCAAUUAUGCCUAUUGAGAGUGAAAUGGUGCUCGGAAACAAACCAAAUUACCCAAUAUAUUUAGGAGAUAAAGAACCAAUUAUAAAAAGGUAGCAUAGAAAGAUAUUGAAAAUACUUUCUUUUCGCAAUAGAAAAAAGUUAUUACUACUGGUUCAUAAGCAUGCAACAGCUUAUGGACAUGUUCUCUGUGAUGAAAAUUAAAAUUUUCAUGUAUUUCUUUUUCUGGCUGAAUCUAAAAGGAAAAAUUUAGAUUUUCUUUUGAAUUCUUUUAUAGAAGGAGAAUUGGGGUAGAUGAAGAAAGAGAAUUGAGAUGAGAAACAUUGCUAGAGAGACCUAAGGAAAAAGACAAGAAGGAACUAUGUAAUAUAACUAUGUGUUGGCAAGUAUUAAUGUCGCGUAUGAUAAUGGUUACCAGCUUUUUAGACACGUAAGUAUACCCACAAAAGCUAGGAGCUAAACUGACUAAAAUUCCCUGAGAUAUUUAAUUGACUAAAGGAGAUGUUUUCCCCUAGAGUAUUCUUCCGGUUGAUUCUGCUAGCUGGAGCUUAACGGUCCUUUAUGCAACUUGAAAAGAUGCUAAUGAAUAGAUUGCAGAAAAGGAAACAGGAGCGCGAGAGGAUGGAGGAAUAUAGACCAAGGUUACGGUGGUAGCGUUGUUGGUCCCAAUCACCUUAUUCCGAGUAAUAUUCCUUUAUUCCUGCCUUUUCAAUUCCCAUUCUAUAUAUCUUGUGAUUUUUUAUAAGUGUUCGUCUAUAGAAGUUUAAAAAAUGCAUUUGGUUCUACAAUAUUUUUAAAUAGGUCUUCCUUUAAAAGAAACAUAUUUUAAUUGAUAUAUAGCAGGUAAGAAAAAUGAUGUGCUAGAAUAGUUGAACUUGCCUAGGAAGAAACAAAUUAACUUGGUGGUUUGGUGAUGCUGAAGUGAUCUAAAUUUUGGAACAAAGAUCCUUUCUUGGGUAUUUUUUUCGCUGUGAAAAAUUAUCUUCCAAGUGAAGAUACUCAAUAGGCCCACCUAAGAACUUGAAGUGUGUUGCUGCAGAGUAGUGUUCGUUACAUCCUACGGUACAUCUUUCGCUCCAUUUUGUUUAAAUAUUUUUGUCGGUUUAGUGUUUGGAAGUUUUAUUUCUGUUUUGAACAGUAUAACUCUUAUUUCUCCAAUCUCGUCUGCUUUCUUACUUUUGCAAGAAUUAUAAAAGAAGCAAUCCUGCUUCCCUAAGAGACUUAUUGACUUUUAAAAGAGAUAGUACAGUGCACUGGACAUGCGAGACGAGCCUUCUUUGUCCAUUGUUUAGGUGAUUGGAAUACAAUAAUUCAUUGUACGUACAAAGAAAUUUUAAGGAAUGUGACAUUUGGGAAGGAAAUUUCCUUGGUGUGAUGCGUACGGGGAUUGUGCAUUAUGGAGGUUUGUCUCCAACCGCCUCUUUUUGCAUUUGGCUUAAUCAUGUUUUUGAAUAUUUCCCUCUUUGCUGUGGACAUGAAGUAGAUUUCAAGCUCUAGCUCCGCUUAACUUUAUAAUGGCGAUUAGCUUUUCCUUUCUUCUUUUUCAUACUUCUUUUUCUAGUAGAUUCUUUCCUGAUGAUACAUUACCGUAUGUGAAGUCGAAUUUCACAUUGUAUCAGCACACACUUAUAUUUGAUUAUGCCUAUACAUGUUAGAAAGUUUUAAUAACUGAUUUUGGUACUUUUAACAACUCAUAAAUCAAGCUAAAAAGUCAAAUAUCACACUAAGACGUGCAUUUCCACUACAUAUCCCCGUAUAUUUAUAAUUGUUGAAGUACAGCAUGGCAUGUCUCCUUACCUGCUCAUACUUUUGUAUUACCUCUGGUCUUUUACUCGCAAAUGUGCCCAAACGGUGUUUGUAAAUCAAGUAUAAUUAUUUACUCGAGGCUAUGUAUGUGAAUUGAGGGAUUCUACUAAGUCGAUGGUCGAGUACGAACAGAUCUUAAAAUGAUUCAGAUUAUUAGAAGAUGUGUUGUUUGUAUUUCUCCUGUUUGAAAUUCUAAAAUUUUAACUAUAUGGGUGUAUUCAAAUUAAUGUCAAUGCUCGUGAAAUUUCUAUUCUGUCCUCAUGCCUAUUUGACUUUAUAACAAAAUUUGCUAUGUUAUGCAAGCUUCACAAAUAGAUCAACAUGGUACUGUGUGUUGCACAUUCUAUCUUCAAUAAAUUCUUCAACUUCUUCCGGAAACAAAUGAUUAGUCCCCCCUGCUUCUCACAUUCCAUGAAUAGCAGGGCUAUCGAGGAAUAUCCAGAAAAGCAUUUCGGCUGCUUUGCAUUAGCUUGCUGAACAUUUUGACUCCUGUAAAACAGAACACAGAGCACAACCGCAUUUCUGUGAUGACAUCAUGAUAAAAUGAAAUUGAUUGCUUACAUUCGACAGGACGAUAAGAUGGAAUUGUUGGCUUCCAUUCGUGAAAGAAUGUUAUAACUGUGAUCAUCACUCAUCACGAUUGUUAGAGCAGUGGUGUCUUAAGUAUAUAUAAAAUGUUAUUACUUAUUCCUCUGUAAUGAGUCUCAUGGUACCAAUUAGAGUUAUUAAAAGUCUGCUGCUUUUUGUGAUGAUAUGAUACUCAUACUAUUACGAGGUUGUGCUUGAUUUGUAAGAUGCAUGUAAUGCUGCAAUACGUUUUGCUGAACAAAGAUA
Lycium ferocissimum is the source of this 2782-nucleotide long non-coding RNA. RefSeq lists it as uncharacterized. The record is from RefSeq and is a predicted model, not a curated record. The transcript is spliced from 2 exons. Lineage: Eukaryota; Viridiplantae; Streptophyta; Magnoliopsida; Solanales; Solanaceae.